GACGAACGCUGGCGGCGUGCUUAACACAUGCAAGUCGAACGGAAAGGCCCUGCUUUUGUGGGGUGCUCGAGUGGCGAACGGGUGAGUAACACGUGAGUAACCUGCCCUUGACUUUGGGAUAACUUCAGGAAACUGGGGCUAAUACCGGAUAGGAGCUCCUGCUGCAUGGUGGGGGUUGGAAAGUUUCGGCGGUUGGGGAUGGACUCGCGGCUUAUCAGCUUGUUGGUGGGGUAGUGGCUUACCAAGGCUUUGACGGGUAGCCGGCCUGAGAGGGUGACCGGCCACAUUGGGACUGAGAUACGGCCCAGACUCCUACGGGAGGCAGCAGUGGGGAAUAUUGCACAAUGGGCGGAAGCCUGAUGCAGCAACGCCGCGUGCGGGAUGACGGCCUUCGGGUUGUAAACCGCUUUCGCCUGUGACGAAGCGUGAGUAACGGUAAUGGGUAAAGAAGCACCAGCUAACUACGUG
This 468-nucleotide ribosomal RNA is filed under the name uncultured bacterium. RNAcentral's name for it is "partial 16S ribosomal RNA". It matches the Rfam family "Bacterial small subunit ribosomal RNA", at positions 28 to 507 of the family's 1533-position model. The record is from RNAcentral.